UACGAAGGGGGCUAGCGUUGCUCGGAAUCACUGGGCGUAAAGCGCACGUAGGCGGAUCUUUAAGUCGGGGGUGAAAUCCUGGAGCUUAACUCCAGAACUGCCUUCGAUACUGAGGGUCUCGAGUCCGGGAGAGGUGAGUGGAACUCCGAGUGUAGAGGUGAAAUUCGUAGAUAUUCGGAAGAACACCAGUGGCGAAGGCGGCUCACUGGCCCGGUACUGACGCUGAGGUGCGAAAGCGUGGGGAGCAAACAGG
RNAcentral lists this ribosomal RNA (253 nucleotides) under uncultured bacterium. RNAcentral's name for it is "partial 16S ribosomal RNA". It matches the Rfam family "Bacterial small subunit ribosomal RNA", at positions 524 to 776 of the family's 1533-position model. The record is from RNAcentral.